GCCAAAGGACAGCCUUUAGAGACAGGAACAUCACGAACAAUUGGGGCAUUCUGGAAAAUUCAGAUUGUCAGAGGAGAAGAGGAGACCAGCUCCGGGAUUAUUAAGCAGAAACCCUCAGAGAGUUCAGAGGGAAAGCAAGUGACUUGGUGGCCGCUGGCAGGGAGGGACUUUGGAGUGAAGCGCUGCGUGGCCGGGUUGCAAACACCAAGAAAGAAACCGUUUUCAAAUGGCUCAAGGAUGAUGUUCUGUAUGAAACGGAGACACUGCCUAACCUGGAGAGGGAAUCUGUGAGCUGCUCAUCCCAAAGUUGUCAAAGAAGGACCACGGUGAAUACAAGGCAACCUUGAAAGAUGACAGAGGGCAAGAUGUGUCCGUCCUUGAAAUAGCUGGCAAAGUGUAUGAUGAUAUGAUUUUGGCAAUGAGUAGAGUCUGUGGGAAAUCUGCUUCGCCACUGAAGGUACUCUGCACCCCAGAAGGAAUACGACUUCAGUGUUUCAUGAAGUAUUUUACAGAAGAAAUGAAAGUGAACUGGUGUCACAAAGAUGCUAAGAUCUCAUCCAGUGAGCAUAUGAGAAUCGGGGGGAGUGAAGAGAUGGCCUGGCUGCAGAUAUGUGAGCCGACCGAGAAGGAUAAAGGAAAAUACA
This 644-nucleotide small RNA is filed under the name Pan troglodytes (chimpanzee). RNAcentral's name for it is "processed transcript". The record is from RNAcentral. Lineage: Eukaryota; Metazoa; Chordata; Mammalia; Primates; Hominidae.